AGCGAACGCUGGCGGCAGGCUUAACACAUGCAAGUCGAGCGGGCAUCCUUGUGGUGUCAGCGGCAGACGGGUGAGUAACGCGUGGGAACGUGCCCUUCGGUUCGGAAAAACUCAGGGAAACUUGAGCUAAUACCGGAUACGUGCGAGAGCAGAAAGGUUUAUCUGCCGAAGGAUCGGCCCGCGUCUGAUUAGCUAGUUGGUGAGGUUAUGGCUCACCAAGGCGACGAUCAGUAGCUGGUCUGAGAGGAUGAUCAGCCACACUGGGACUGAGACACGGCCCAGACUCCUACGGGAGGCAGCAGUGGGGAAUAUUGGACAAUGGGGGCAACCCUGAUCCAGCCAUGCCGCGUGAGUGAUGACGGCCUUAGGGUUGUAAAGCUCUUUUCUCCGGGACGAUAAUGACGGUACCGGAGGAAUAAGCCCCGGCUAACUUCGUG
This 437-nucleotide ribosomal RNA is filed under the name uncultured bacterium. Its description in RNAcentral is "partial 16S ribosomal RNA". It matches the Rfam family "Bacterial small subunit ribosomal RNA", at positions 29 to 507 of the family's 1533-position model. The record is from RNAcentral.